CCUACGGGAGGCAGCAGUGAGGAAUAUUGGUCAAUGGACGAGAGUCUGAACCAGCCAAGUAGCGUGAAGGAUGACUGCCCUAUGGGUUGUAAACUUCUUUUAUAUGGGAAUAAACUGUUCCACGUGUGCGUUUUUGUAUUCACCUUAUGAAUAAGGAUCGGCUAACUCCGUGCCGUCAGCCGCGGGAAUACGGAGGGUCCGAGCGUUAUCCGGAUUUAUUGGGUUUAAAGGGAGCGUAGGUGGAUUGUUAAGUCAGUUGUGAAAGUUUGCGGCUCAACCGUAAAAUUGCAGUUGAAACUGGCAGGCUUGAGUACAGUAGAGGUGGGCGGAAUUCGUGGUGUAGCGGUGAAAUGCUUAGAUAUCACGAAGAACUCCGAUUGCGAAGGCAGCUCACUGGACUGCAACUGACACUGAGGCUCGAAAGUGUGGGUAUCAAACAGGAUUAGAUACCCCAGUAGUC
This 460-nucleotide ribosomal RNA is filed under the name uncultured bacterium. RNAcentral's name for it is "partial 16S ribosomal RNA". It matches the Rfam family "Bacterial small subunit ribosomal RNA", at positions 338 to 795 of the family's 1533-position model. The record is from RNAcentral.